CUUUAAUGUGUUUUAAAAUGCUGUGUAGACAAACUGUGAGAAUGAUUUUAGGAUACUGUGUUCUAUUUGCUCUAAUAUCAUAUUCUUAUGGACAGUCCCUGACCUCGUCUGCUUCUGUGGUGAAGAAACCAGGAGAGUCGGUCACUCUGUCCUGCACUGUGUCUGGGCUCUCGCUUGCCUGGUUGCACUGGAUCCGUCAGAAACCAGGACAAGGACUGGAGUGGAUCGGGCGCAUUGAUAGUGGCACUGGCACCGUGUUCGCUCAGUCUCUACAGGGCCAGUUCUCCAUCAAUAAAGACACCAAUAAAAACUUGCUGUACCUAGAAGUGAAGAGUCUGAAAGCUGAAGACACGGCAGUUUAUUACUGUGCAAAAGAGACACACUGACACAACAGGCUCCAGAGCUGUACAAAAACUUACAGAAGCACAUCCUGGUGAGCUGUAAAUAUUCCCUCAGCAGGAAGCAGCACCCCAGUGACAAUAUCUACU
Tachysurus fulvidraco (yellow catfish) is the source of this 488-nucleotide non-coding RNA. NCBI's taxonomy places the organism in Eukaryota, Metazoa, Chordata, Actinopteri, Siluriformes, Bagridae. The record is from the annotation of a RefSeq genome assembly.